RNAcentral lists this ribosomal RNA (428 nucleotides) under uncultured bacterium. RNAcentral's name for it is "partial 16S ribosomal RNA". It matches the Rfam family "Bacterial small subunit ribosomal RNA", at positions 883 to 1312 of the family's 1533-position model. The record is from RNAcentral.
CGNCCGCAAGGUUGAAACUCAAAGGANUUGACGGGGGCCCGCACAAGCGGUGGAGCAUGUGGUUUAAUUCGAAGCAACGCGAAGAACCUUACCAGGUCUUGACAUCCCGAUGCUAUUUCUAGAGAUAGGAAGUUACUUCGGUACAUCGGUGACAGGUGGUGCAUGGUUGUCGUCAGCUCGUGUCGUGAGAUGUUGGGUUAANNNNNNNNNCGAGCGCAACCCCUAUUGUUAGUUGCCAUCAUUCAGUUGGGCACUCUAGCGAGACUGCCGGUAAUAAACCGGAGGAAGGUGGGGAUGACGUCAAAUCAUCAUGCCCCUUAUGACCUGGGCUACACACGUGCUACAAUGGUUGGUACAACGAGUUGCGAGUCGGUGACGGCGAGCUAAUCUCUUAAAGCCAAUCUCAGUUCGGAUUGUAGGCUGCAACU